UGGGGAAUAUUAGGCAAUGGGGGAAACCCUGACCUAGCAACGCCGCGUGAAGGAAUGAAGGUUUUCGGAUUGUAAACUUCUUUUGUCAGGGACGAUAAUGACGGUACCUGACGAAUAAGCCACGGCUAACUACGUGCCAGCAGCCGCGGUAAUACGUAGGUGGCGAGCGUUGUCCGGAUUUACUGGGUGUAAAGGGCGAGUAGGCGGGUAUGCAAGUCAGGUGUGAAAUCUAUGGGCUUAACCCAUAAACUGCACUUGAAACUGUGUAUCUUGAGUGAUGGAGAGGCAGGCGGAAUUCCCGGUGUAGCGGUGAAAUGCAUAGAGAUCGGGAGGAACACCAGUGGCGAAGGCGGCCUGCUGGACAUUAACUGACGCUGAGGCGCGAAAGUGUGGGGAGCAAACA
RNAcentral lists this ribosomal RNA (403 nucleotides) under uncultured Eubacteriales bacterium. RNAcentral's name for it is "uncultured Clostridiales bacterium partial 16S ribosomal RNA". It matches the Rfam family "Bacterial small subunit ribosomal RNA", at positions 355 to 774 of the family's 1533-position model. Lineage: Bacteria; Bacillati; Bacillota; Clostridia; Eubacteriales. The record is from RNAcentral.